RNAcentral lists this long non-coding RNA (268 nucleotides) under Elaeis guineensis (African oil palm). RNAcentral describes it as "long non-coding RNA (EGUI_LNC018104)". The record is from RNAcentral. Lineage: Eukaryota; Viridiplantae; Streptophyta; Magnoliopsida; Arecales; Arecaceae.
GUCAGAUCGAAAUGACAAAGUUGUGCUAAGUUAUGUUUUUAUCUUAAAAGAGGAGCGACAUACUUGAAAUGUGCCAUGCAGUAUUCAGUAGUCAGUUUUAUUUACGAUACGGAGUUCUUUGUGGUAUCGGAUGCUGGUAAAGAAGUUAUUUGGUUAUGAAAGAUCUUUUGCGAGCUUGAAGAGGUACCCUCCGUUGAUGGUCCAGUCCUUCUGUAUUGACAACAGUACUAGAGUCAUAGCUCAAGCUAAAAAACUAGUAUUCCAUCUG